AAGAAGUGGAUGAACCGUAACAUGUGUUCAUCACAUAAUAUCAUCAUAACAACCUUCCUUUUGGCAGGGGAGGGGCUAUUUUAGUUACGACCUGAGGCACAACGAGCAGGAGGAGUUGGCCAACUGGAGUGCUAGAUUCAGGGCAAGUUUGCCAAAUCACUUUUAUUAGUUCCGUUGAUAAUACCAGGACUGGAGAACUGAAAGCCCUUGUAGAUGCAAGAGGUGUGCUAUUAAACCAAAAAAUUAAGUGCACAACAUAAUACUAUUACAUAGUUCACGUGGUCGAUUUUCACAUGAUUUCGAACUUCCUAAAUCGGAUUUCUUUUUGCAGGAACAAGAUUGACAACGGCCUUUUGCAUUGCACUCUUGAUAAAGCUUCAAGCUCAAGGCCUUCGAUAUUUGUGAAGUUUUCCAGGAAGAAGAUUGACUGUAGCAUCUUGGAGUGCACUAAUAUUAAUAAAUAAACCCUUCAAUAUUUUUGUCGCCCAAAGGCUACAAGUUCUGUAAUUUACCCAAAUACUUAGC
Molecule: long non-coding RNA, 525 nt
Filed under: Triticum aestivum (bread wheat)
Lineage: Eukaryota; Viridiplantae; Streptophyta; Magnoliopsida; Poales; Poaceae
Description: long non-coding RNA (TAES_LNC011057)
Source: RNAcentral